Molecule: non-coding RNA, 101 nt
Filed under: Bacillus sp. (in: firmicutes)
Lineage: Bacteria; Bacillati; Bacillota; Bacilli; Caryophanales; Bacillaceae
Also listed under: 1 other name
Description: Bacillus sp. Guanine sequence
Rfam family: Purine riboswitch aptamer
About the family: Riboswitches are metabolite binding domains within certain messenger RNAs that serve as precision sensors for their corresponding targets. Allosteric rearrangement of mRNA structure is mediated by ligand binding, and this results in modulation of gene expression. A class of riboswitches that selectively recognises guanine and becomes saturated at concentrations as low as 5 nM.
Source: RNAcentral
CACAAUUAAUAUAAUAUAACCUGUAUAACCUCAAGAAUAUGGCUUGAGGGUCUCUACCAGGAACCUUAAAAAUCCUGAUUACAGAAAAUGAAUGAAUCAUU